This 141-nucleotide small nuclear RNA is filed under the name Cebus imitator (Panamanian white-faced capuchin). Its description in RNAcentral is "U4 spliceosomal RNA (ENSCCAG00000005760.1)". It matches the Rfam family "U4 spliceosomal RNA". Rfam says of the family: U4 small nuclear RNA (U4 snRNA) is a component of the major U2-dependent spliceosome. Lineage: Eukaryota; Metazoa; Chordata; Mammalia; Primates; Cebidae. The record is from Rfam by way of RNAcentral.
AGCUUUGUGCAGUGACAGUAUCGUAGCCAAUGAGGUUUAUCCGAGGUGCGAUUAUUGCUAAUUGAAAACUUUUCCCAGUACCCCGCCAUGACAACUUGAAAUAUAGUCAGCAUUGGCAAUUUUUGACAGUCUCUACGGAGA